Molecule: long non-coding RNA, 417 nt
Organism: Apis laboriosa (Himalayan honeybee)
Lineage: Eukaryota; Metazoa; Arthropoda; Insecta; Hymenoptera; Apidae
Exons: 2
Source: RefSeq, a predicted model, not a curated record
UUAAGACUUAAUAAAGUGUUAAUAAUUCUUUUAUAUUUAAAAUAGUAAAAUAAAUUAUAUAAUUAAAAAAUUAAAUAUUUAAUACUUAACAUAAAGGUUAUAUUGAUUUAUAUAUUUUCAUUAUCUCAGUUAUUUACUUAAUCGUUUUGUCAAUAAUAAAAAUUUUAUUUGUCUGAUUUAAGAUUUUAAAUAAAAAAUGGUAUGUGUACCAUGUGUAGCUAUACCAAUAUUUCUCAUUAUAUGGAGAUUUUUGAUACAACCAUUAUUUAUAAAAUGGUGGCAGUUUAGAAACAAACAAAAAGAAUUAAUAAAUAAUGAACAACAAUUGGUGAAAGAAUGUAAAAAUGGAGUUUGUACGUUAUCAUGGUCAAAAAAAGAAAAUAAAAAAUUUGAUUAAAAAGCUUUAAAAUUCAUAAA